UACGUAGGGGGCAAGCGUUGUCCGGAAUUAUUGGGCGUAAAGAGCGCGUAGGCGGUCUGGUAAGUCGGUUGUGAAAGUCGGGGGCUCAACCCUCGGAUGCCGAUCGAUACUGUCAGGCUAGAGUCCGGAAGAGGCGAGUGGAAUUCCUGGUGUAGCGGUGAAAUGCGCAGAUAUCAGGAGGAACACCAAUGGCGAAGGCAGCUCGCUGGGACGGUACUGACGCUGAGGAGCGAAAGCGUGGGGAGCGAACAGG
This 253-nucleotide ribosomal RNA is filed under the name uncultured bacterium. RNAcentral describes it as "partial 16S ribosomal RNA". It matches the Rfam family "Bacterial small subunit ribosomal RNA", at positions 524 to 776 of the family's 1533-position model. The record is from RNAcentral.